AGAUUGAACGCUGGCGGCAUGCCUAACACAUGCAGGUCGAACGGGAGCAGCAAUACUCUAGUGGCGGACGGGUGAGGAAUACGUAGGAAUUUGCCCUUAAGUGGGGGAUAACCCGGGGAAACCCGGAUUAAUACCGCAUGACCUCGAAAGAGCAAAGUGGGGGAUCGCAAGACCUCACGCUUUUGGAGAAGCCUACGUCGGAUUAGCUAGUUGGUGAGGUAAUGGCCCACCAAGGCGACGAUCCGUAACUGGUCUGAGAGGAUGAUCAGUCACACCGGAACUGAGACACGGUCCGGACUCCUACGGGAGGCAGCAGUGGGGAAUAUUGGACAAUGGGCGCAAGCCUGAUCCAGCAAUGCCGCGUGUGUGAAGA
Molecule: ribosomal RNA, 373 nt
Filed under: uncultured soil bacterium
Lineage: Bacteria
Description: bacterial SSU rRNA
Rfam family: Bacterial small subunit ribosomal RNA
Source: RNAcentral